RNAcentral lists this ribosomal RNA (253 nucleotides) under uncultured bacterium. RNAcentral's name for it is "partial 16S ribosomal RNA". It matches the Rfam family "Bacterial small subunit ribosomal RNA", at positions 524 to 776 of the family's 1533-position model. The record is from RNAcentral.
UACAGAGGUCUCAAGCGUUGUUCGGAUUCAUUGGGCGUAAAGGGUGCGUAGGUGGCGCCGUAAGUCGAGUGUGAAAUUCGUGGCUUAACUCCGAAACUGCAUUGAUACUGUGGUGCUUGAGGACUGGAGAGGAGACUGGAAUUCAUCGGUGUAGCAGUGAAAUGCGUAGAGAUCGAUGAGGAAGACCAGUGGCGAAGGCGGGUCUCUGGACAGUUCCUGACACUGAGGCACGAAGGCCAGGGGAGCAAACGGG